This 253-nucleotide ribosomal RNA is filed under the name uncultured bacterium. RNAcentral describes it as "partial 16S ribosomal RNA". It matches the Rfam family "Bacterial small subunit ribosomal RNA", at positions 524 to 776 of the family's 1533-position model. The record is from RNAcentral.
UACGGGGGGAGCAAGCGUUGUUCGGAUUUACUGGGCGUAAAGGGCGCGUAGGCGGCGUAACAAGUCACUUGUGAAAUCUCCGGGCUUAACCCGGAGCGGCCAAGUGAUACUGUUGUGCUAGAGUGCGGAAGGGGCUACUGGAAUUCCGGGUGUAGCGGUGGAAUGCGUAGAGAUCCGGAAGAACACCGGUGGCGAAGGCGGCCUGCUGGGCUAUGGCUGACACUGAGGCGCGACAGCGUGGGGAGCAAACAGG